GUAGCAAUGGUAGCAUCCAUCUUCUUCAUCUCAUCAUCUCAACUUCCAUAAUCGGCACUCGGUAGCUCCAGCCACAGCCAGAGCAUCUUUCAUUUCAAUCAAUCAUCUCUAGUCCUAGUCUCAAUCUCGUAAUUUUUAUUUCACUUUCUUCACACCAUGUUGCAAUGAUUGUAUUUUUCCCUUUGCUUUGAGAUUCUGAUGUAUAAUAAUACAAUUAUUUACGGCUGAAUACAGUUUUUUAAUGGUGGUCAACUUGAGAUACCAGCUUUAAGGCACGCAGGCACGUAUAAAACCAUGGGGCACGAGGUCAAAAUAAAAUCAGUAGACUCUACACAAAACUGACCAAGUUUCUAACAUCCUUUGAAGCUACAGGAAAGGGAAGGAUGCCGCUACAGUCGAAGAGAAUCGGGCCUAUGGAGAUGUCAGCGAAGAUAUAAACACUUUUCAACAAUCACUAGGCCUUUACAUUGAGCCUACAGUUAUUAAUUUUUAAAUCUUUUAAGUGAUUUACUUUAGUUUACAGAUUUGAUAUAUUAUAAGAAUAUUUUGUUCACUUGGUUUUUUGGUCUCUUUUGUGAUUUGACCUUCUAUAAAAAAUGUAUAUUUUGGGCUUUGUGAAAGAAUAAACAAUAUAUUUUUAAA
This is a long non-coding RNA of Macrosteles quadrilineatus (aster leafhopper), 642 nucleotides long. RefSeq lists it as uncharacterized. The transcript has 3 exons. The record is from RefSeq and is a predicted model, not a curated record. NCBI's taxonomy places the organism in Eukaryota, Metazoa, Arthropoda, Insecta, Hemiptera, Cicadellidae.